This 830-nucleotide ribosomal RNA is filed under the name uncultured bacterium. Its description in RNAcentral is "bacterial SSU rRNA". It matches the Rfam family "Bacterial small subunit ribosomal RNA", at positions 85 to 951 of the family's 1533-position model. The record is from RNAcentral.
UUCGGGGUGAGCGGCGGACGGGUUAGUAACGCGUGGGAACGUACCCAGAUCUAAGGAAUAGCCACUGGAAACGGUGAGUAAUACCUUAUACGCCCUUCGGGGGAAAGAUUUAUCGGAUUUGGAUCGGCCCGCGUUAGAUUAGAUAGUUGGUGGGGUAACGGCCUACCAAGUCUACGAUCUAUAGCUGGUUUUAGAGGAUGAUCAGCAACACUGGGACUGAGACACGGCCCAGACUCCUACGGGAGGCAGCAGUGGGGAAUCUUAGACAAUGGGCGCAAGCCUGAUCUAGCCAUGCCGCGUGAGUGACGAAGGCCCUAGGGUCGUAAAGCUCUUUCGCCAGGGAUGAUAAUGACAGUACCUGGUAAAGAAACCCCGGCUAACUCCGUGCCAGCAGCCGCGGUAAUACGGAGGGGGUUAGCGUUGUUCGGAAUUACUGGGCGUAAAGCGCGCGUAGGCGGAUUGGAAAGUUGAGGGUGAAAUCCCGGGGCUCAACCCCGGAACUGCCUCCAAAACUAUCAGUCUAGAGUUCGAGAGAGGUGAGUGGAACUCCGAGUGUAGAGGUGAAAUUCGUAGAUAUUCGGAAGAACACCAGUGGCGAAGGCGGCUCACUGGCUCGAUACUGACGCUGAGGUGCGAAAGUGUGGGGAGCAAACAGGAUUAGAUACCCUGGUAGUCCACACCGUAAACGAUGAAUGCCAGUCGUCGGGUAGCAUGCUAUUCGGUGACACACCUAACGGAUUAAGCAUUCCGCCUGGGGAGUACGGUCGCAAGAUUAAAACUCAAAGAAAUUGACGGGGGCCCGCACAAGCGGUGGAGCAUGUGGUUUAAUU